This 1160-nucleotide long non-coding RNA is filed under the name Pavo cristatus (Indian peafowl). RNAcentral's name for it is "lncRNA (ENSPSTG00000011800.1)". The record is from RNAcentral. Lineage: Eukaryota; Metazoa; Chordata; Aves; Galliformes; Phasianidae.
GACGGGGCCGAGCCGCGGGCGCAAGCCGCGGGCACGGCCCUAUUGCCCGCUCUCGGCCUGCAGGGCCCGGCCGACUCUCCGCGGGCACGGCCCAUCCGCACCUGUGCUGGUGAACCUGCAGCUUGGGUGGGCGCGGGUGUGAGGUGCCGUCACCGCGAGCCCAAACCAGAAGCUGGCAGGCAGUGUUUACAAGGCAGAGUGAAGAACGUCUCUUCUCACUCGAGGCAGCUUGGGGUUAGCUGUCUCAGGGGCUCAGCAGGACGCAACAGCAUUAGUGCAGUACCUGUGUGUCAUCUUGAGCGCUUCUGCACAAAUGAUUCGCUUAGUGACAGAGAAAAGGAGAAAGCAAAUGGGGCUGUGGCCAUCAAACUCUUGAGUCUACAGCCUCAUCUGCAAAGGAAGUCAUCAGAGCAAGACAAUUUUAAUUUUUCCUCCACCUAUGAGCUGCAUCAGGGAAGAAAAGCGAACACAAACAAUGCAGUGAGAGGGAAAGGCAAGCACAGGGAGUUCUACACACUGCUACGUAUCAGUGUUUGUGAUAUUUGCUGCUUGCAUUUUUUAUCUGGAUGGGGUUGAUAGUCGAUGUCUCUUCAAAAGACUGCAGCAAACACCAAGUACCCACGAAGCUUGACCCCAUUUUGUGAGCAGGCUGUAGCACAAAAGACCUGCAGCUGGGUGGCAAGGUGUGUGCGGGGCACCUCAUUACAUAAGCAGACUACCCCUGCACUCUCAGUAGGCCACAGGUUUAGCCUGUGGUUUAAGCAGUACCACAGUGCAAGCCUGCCUGUGAUAAUCAGUUCUGCGCUGGCUAGGUCUUGACACUUAAAUUAUAGCACGAAGCUCCUCCCAGUGGGUGGUGGCAACCGUGAGCUUCUUGUUGCUUUAUCUAAUUCUCAGAAAAAUUUCUGUAGCUGUAAAAAAGACCAGAAACUCCAGACCAAGGACUUGCUUGUUAAAGAUUGUUACUGCUCCAUGUAAUGCUGGACUCUGCCCCUUGUGUGUGCUAGUGAAGCUGUGUUUCUCAGCUCCCACUAUAAGGACUUCUCUGGCAUUCUUGUAUGAGAGCUACACUGUAAACUGUUCUGAGAAGCAACAAGCAAAUCAGUAACUUUCACAGUUUCUGAGUUAUCANACUGUAGGCAUAUCUGAAAGUAAUUUUA